CUUACCUUAAUAGUAAGAGUGACGGGCGAUGUGUGCAUAUUUUAGAGCUAAAAUCAAAAUUAUAAUCUUUUAAUUUUUACUAUCAAAUCCACCUUCAUUAGUAUAUAUAAAAACUAAAUCCGUUUAAAUAAAUUUAUUGUAACCCAUCUCUUCUUAAAUAUAAGCUACACCUUGAUCUGAUAUAAAUUCUAAAUUAAAUUAUUGAAAAUUAUUAUUCUAAUAAAAUAUUCUGAUAACGACGGUAUAUAAACUGAAAAACAAAUUUAAGUGAGGUACAUCGUGGAUUAUCAAUUACAGGACAGGUUCCUCUGAAUAGACUAAAAUACCGCCAAAUUUUUUAAGUUUCAAGAACAUAACUAAUACUACCUAAGUGCUUAUUUUUACAUUUUAAAUAAUA
RNAcentral lists this ribosomal RNA (397 nucleotides) under Ceratitis flexuosa. Its description in RNAcentral is "partial 12S ribosomal RNA". Lineage: Eukaryota; Metazoa; Arthropoda; Insecta; Diptera; Tephritidae. The record is from RNAcentral.